Long non-coding RNA from Syngnathoides biaculeatus (alligator pipefish), 781 nucleotides. RefSeq lists it as uncharacterized. NCBI's taxonomy places the organism in Eukaryota, Metazoa, Chordata, Actinopteri, Syngnathiformes, Syngnathidae. The record is from RefSeq and is a predicted model, not a curated record. The transcript has 3 exons.
CUAAUUUUCACAUUUGAAUCAUGAAUCAAAGUACAAUACACUGCAGUGGACCCCUACACAAUCGCACUUUGACACUCAAUGAUUCACCUGUCUACUUUUUCAUUUUUAUUUUUUAUUUUUUGGGGUCAAAGGGGGCGGCAUGGUGGCUCAUCUGGUAAAGCGUUGACCUCACAGUACUCAGGUCCCCGGGUUAGAUCCCGAUCCCUGCCUGUGUGGACUUCGCUUGUCCUCCCCGUGCCUGUGUGGGUUUAAGCCGGGCACUCCGGUUUCCUCCCACAUCCCAAAAACAUGCAAAAAAAACUCCAGCACUCCCCGCAACCCUUGUGAGCAUUAGCGGUCAAUAUAAUGGAUGGAUGAGUACAAGUGAGCUUCCAACAGACAGCCACAAGGUGGCAGCAUUGAACAUCAGCCGGCGGUCCAUCACAGAGACCGUUCAGACCUGAAAUAUGGCUCCUUAUCUGGAUCUGAACCAUAAUCAUUCGAAACGGUUCUCCCCUGGCGCCACCCGUGACAGGAUUCUUGGAAAUCAGGUUCCCGACCCCUGGUGUGAAGACAAGAAAGUUUCCAUAUUUACCUUAUGACACGGACCAGCUCGUGGAAGGCCUUGUCUACAUUCAUUGGGGGGUCCUUGGCACUGGUUUCAAUGUGCUGCUUACGUUAUGUUUUGCCGCCAUCUCUUGGCCCUGCUCAGUGGUGAUCUUCCUCAAAUGGACCAAGUCCACCUUGUUUGCCACCAGCACCAUCGGAAAGGCUUCCCUGAGACGACAAACGAAAGCAGCUC